UGAGCGGCGGACGGGUGAGUAACGCGUGGGUAACCUGCCUCAUACAGGGGAGUAACAGUUGGAAACGGCUGCUAAUACCGCAUAAGCGCACAGUACCGCAUGGUACGGUGUGAAAAACUCCGGUGGUAUGAGAUGGACCCGCGUCUGAUUAGGUAGUUGGUGGGGUAACGGCCUACCAAGCCGACGAUCAGUAGCCGACCUGAGAGGGUGACCGGCCACAUUGGGACUGAGACACGGCCCAA
RNAcentral lists this ribosomal RNA (242 nucleotides) under uncultured bacterium. RNAcentral's name for it is "partial 16S ribosomal RNA". It matches the Rfam family "Bacterial small subunit ribosomal RNA", at positions 92 to 334 of the family's 1533-position model. The record is from RNAcentral.